UCGAAUUUACCUCCUUUAUAACUUCAGUUUAUGCAGUACUUCUGAGAUUACCUAUAUAUAUAUAUAAAUUUUAGAAAGUGCUAAGAAAGUAAGAAUGCUUUACGACUUCGCAUUAAGGCCCUAUAGAAAAAUAAAAUUUUGGCAUGGCCCUAAAAGUGAAAGAGAAUCAAACUGGAUUUUGUUAGAACUUGUUUUAAACAAGCAAAACAAUGUAGCAGACAUGAAACAGGAAUUACGCUUCCAAUAUAAUAAGUGGUUCUUUAAGAACUUGCAAGUGCACACAAAGCAGAGAAAGACUUUCAUUAAGAAUACAGUUUUUGCUUCUCCUUAAUGACUAUCGUGUCAAUGGAUUAUAAUCCCCUCUUCAUUUAAUGACUCGCAACAAUAAGCAGAGAGUGCAUCAGCCAAUUGUGUCCAUAUGACCAGAGUUGUAAACAAGUGCAGCACCACUAUAUGAUUCUAGCCAAUCAUAUAUAAUUAUCUGAUAAUCUACCUCUUAAUAGACCUUCUCCUCGUAUUAUCACUAGAUGUGUAAUCACGGAAAAGGUUUUCCUUGUGUGUGCAGCCAUAACCACAAAACUUCCACUAUUUUAAUAGUAGAAAUAUUAUUUUGUGACACAAAAUUUAUCGAUUUAUAUCGAGGUUUUUCGGUUCAUCACUCAAUAAAAACCUUCAGCAGUGACAUUGGCCAUAAAUUUACAUAUUGCAACACGAAAGAGCGUAAAGUAUUUAUAGUAGAACCAAAAAUAAACCGAGUCUUCGAUAUGGGGGCAAACAGUCGGUUUCGCCUCUCAUCAAAAUUUAGAAGGUUAAACAAAUUUCACAGCAGGCUGCACACACGUUUGUAGAUUGACCAGAAUUUAGUCAUAAACGUGACAUCUGGCCGUUUAGAGUUUUUAAUUUGUGGACGGUCCGGUAUCCAUCACUGGGGACGAUAACUGCAAUAGCGAAACCGCGGGGUUAACGAGUCCAUUGGAGUGUGUAAUAGUCAAAAUAUAAAAUUACUUGGAGUAAUCCGUCCGCACGCUAAUGUCACACCUGGCAAAGUGAACCAACAAAAUUUUUAAAAAGUGUUUGAGGAUUAAAACGGGGGAUGCGCCAUCAACGUUCGGGUUCGCUGACUACAAAUUAAGAUGGAAAAUUGUUAGUUGAUACGGUUUUCAUUGUCCGCUUGUAAAUUGUGUAAUGUAUGUAAGCGACUCUGACAGAAGUGCGUGAGGACAGAUUCAUCCAUCAUUGUCUAAUCAGACGACUGGAAUUUCCCAUAAAUAUUCCGCGUAACGCGAUCUUGCACGUCUAACUAGCUGGCCCAACCACAAUGACGUAAGUAAUCCUUAUUUAUAAUUCUUGACAAUGUUAGGAAUUCGUGAAAUAAUAGUAAAAAAAAUUAAUUUUGUAGAGAUUUGAAUGGAGAAAUUUUAGUAAAGAAAUUAUCUCUUUCGUAAUAGGUUUAGACGAGGGCAAAGUGGAGUUUGUCGACGUGGACG
Molecule: long non-coding RNA, 1487 nt
Filed under: Androctonus crassicauda
Lineage: Eukaryota; Metazoa; Arthropoda; Arachnida; Scorpiones; Buthidae
Source: RNAcentral